RNAcentral lists this ribosomal RNA (693 nucleotides) under Vibrio sp. RNAcentral describes it as "bacterial SSU rRNA". It matches the Rfam family "Bacterial small subunit ribosomal RNA", at positions 341 to 1032 of the family's 1533-position model. Lineage: Bacteria; Pseudomonadati; Pseudomonadota; Gammaproteobacteria; Vibrionales; Vibrionaceae. The record is from RNAcentral.
ACGGGAGGCAGCAGUGGGGAAUAUUGCACAAUGGGCGCAAGCCUGAUGCAGCCAUGCCGCGUGUAUGAAGAAGGCCUUCGGGUUGUAAAGUACUUUCAGCAGUGAGGAAGGUUCAUGCGUUAAUAGCGUAUGGAUUUGACGUUAGCUGCAGAAGUAAGCACCGGCUAACUCCGUGCCAGCAGCCGCGGUAAUACGGAGGGUGCGAGCGUUAAUCGGAAUUACUGGGCGUAAAGCGCAUGCAGGUGGUUUGUUAAGUCAGAUGUGAAAGCCCGGGGCUCAACCUCGGAAUUGCAUUUGAAACUGGCAGACUAGAGUACUGUAGAGGGGGGUAGAAUUUCAGGGUGUAGCGGUGAAAUGCGUAGAGAUCUGAAGGAAUACCGGUGGCGAAGGCGGCCCCCUGGACAGAUACUGACACUCAGAUGCGAAAGCGUGGGGAGCAAACAGGAUUAGAUACCCUGGUAGUCCACGCCGUAAACGAUGUCUACUUGGAGGUUGUGGCCUUGAGCCGUGGCUUUCGGAGCUAACGCGUUAAGUAGACCGCCUGGGGGAGUACGGUCGCAAGAUUAAAACUCAAAUGAAUUGACGGGGGCCCGCACAAGCGGUGGAGCAUGUGGUUUAAUUCGAUGCACGCGAGACCUUACCUACUCUUGACAUCCAGAGACUUUCAGAGAUGGAUGUGCUUCGGGACUCUGA